This 485-nucleotide ribosomal RNA is filed under the name uncultured bacterium. RNAcentral's name for it is "partial 16S ribosomal RNA". It matches the Rfam family "Bacterial small subunit ribosomal RNA", at positions 28 to 523 of the family's 1533-position model. The record is from RNAcentral.
GACGAACGCUGGCGGCGUGCUUAACACAUGCAAGUCGAACGGUGAAAGUGGAGCUUGCUCCGCUGGAUCAGUGGCGAACGGGUGAGUAACACGUGGGCAACCUGCCCCUCACUUCGGGAUAACUCCGGGAAACCGGGGCUAAUACCGGAUAUGACCUCCUUGGCCAUCCUUGGCGGUGGAAAGUUUUUCGGUGGGGGAUGGGCCCGCGGCCUAUCAGGUUGUUGGUGAGGUAGUGGCUCACCAAGGCGACGACGGGUAGCCGGCCUGAGAGGGCGACCGGCCACACUGGGACUGAGACACGGCCCAGACUCCUACGGGAGGCAGCAGUGGGGAAUAUUGCGCAAUGGGCGAAAGCCUGACGCAGCAACGCCGCGUGCGGGAUGACGGCCUUCGGGUUGUAAACCGCUUUCAGGAGGGAAGAAGCCGCAAGGUGACGGUACCUGCAGAAGAAGCACCGGCUAACUACAUGCCAGCAGCCGCAGUAA